AAAUGUUUUAUUAAAUGUUUAUAAGGUUUCAUACUGGGAAAUUUUUGUUUCUUAAAUUGGAUUAUCUUAAUUCUCCUUUUAAUUUUUUUUCUCACUAGUCAGAAGAAUAAUAGGAUUAACAUGUCACUGUUAAUUCAGCAUCAACCAGUUACUGACCUUAAUGUGACAGGAACAUUUACAGUUCAGAGUAGAGACACAUUUUCUUUAUUUAGAAAAUUAUUUGUUUUUCAGGUAGAGAUUGGUGUGGCUCUUAGGAAAAGGAACUCUGAUGGCUCAGAGGAACACAUUAAGAGAAUUUUCUGUAUUUUGAAAGGGAAAAACAUUUCCUUCUUAUGUACCUCUUUUAACAUAUUUAUCGUAACUUUCAGCAACUUAAUAAAAAUGAUAGAAAUGAUGAAAUUGAAACCAUAGCCAAGGUAUUUAAAAAAAUGAAUUCUGUUCCAAACUCUUCACCCCCUUGUAUUUCACAAAAAUAUAAAGGUCUUAGAAAUUCUGGAGUUUCUUGCUACAGAAACAAUUGCAUGAGAGAUGUGGCUAUAGUUGUAGGUUUACGUGAAAUGCUAACUGCUUAGCAGUGUAGAAAGGGCUUAUUAUAGCAUCGAGUAAAGGGGAAGCUGAAUGUUGCCUAGGAGUAUGUAGCUUUUUUCUUGUUCUGCAUUUUAACAUAUUCCAGCAAAAUUUCUCUUCCUGCCUUUUUAUAUGCAUAAUGUCAACAUACAGUGAAACAGGAAAUUACGGUUUAAGUUUUGUUUUAAUGAAUUGAUUUACAUAAUAAUGUGUUUUCAUAUUACUGAAACAAAAUAGAAGAUUAACUUUGCUUUACAAAAUGAAAUCGUUACUGGUACAGAACUUUAAUGAUUGCUCAUUAGAAUGAUAAUAGUGAAUGUUUUUCUUUAUAAUAGAUGUAUUUAAAUUUUAAGAUAUAACUUAAAAAUUAGCACUAUCCUUCUUUGGUAAUUUCUUCAUAUUUUAACCUACAUUUCUAAAGAGAAAUUACCAUGUAGCAUUUGUGUUAUUAUAAAGAGGCUAUUUACCUCUUCCAGUGGUAUGGAAUAAAAUGACAAAGGGAACCUCCACUCACAUUUUAAAGACUUAUUUGUAGGUAACUAUUAUACACAAAGAUCAGCUAGUUGAGUUGUAAUUUUUGUUCAGUUUUGCUAAGUUACAGAAAUGUUUUAUUUCAACUGUAUCUUAGGUGGUCAGAAGAAUUUGUGUUAAAAUUAUUCAUGAAGGAUUAUUUCAGUGUUAUGUUAAAGUGAAGUAACUGUGUAAAUACUUUAGGAUUGUGCCAUGAAGAUCUCUGUGAUUUCCCAAAAUAGUGGAUUUUUUUUUCCUGCUUUUCUCUGAGGUUGUAAAUUCUAAAUAGAAUUCUGGGUGAUGAUGAGAUCUUUUGUGCCACAUAUUAAUUACAUAAUGAGAUUGACAUUUCUCUGUAUAAGUAAGUUUUUAAUAGAAUUUGGCUUUAUAACAUCUAGUGUUACAUUUUUUAAGCACAAAAGCCACAUUAGUUAUUAAAAGGCUUAUUUUUUUUUCUCCUUCAGACUGACAGUUUUUACUUAGGGCACUGAUUUAUUAGAUAUACAUCAGUAUUAUCACGUGACAUUUUAAAUUUCAAGUUAUACUUUAGGAAAUCUACAGGAAAUUCAAAUGCAUAAGAACAGUAAGACAGUGUUGAAAGAGAAGUGCAAAGCUAACUCUAACUUUAGGUCACCAGAUUUCAAAACCUACUUUAAAGCCGCAUUAACUAAGAUGGCAUUUUAUUCAUUGAAGGAUAAACAAAUAGACCAAUUUAACAGAAUGAGUUUUCACAAACCUAUGAACACAUAUAUGGCUACAGUGACACCAUAAUACUGUGUGGAAGCAUAAACAUAUGAAAAAGAUUUCAACCUUAUUAUUACUUUAUUAAGUAUGUGAAAGUUAAAACACAAUAAGGUGCUGCACUACAUUUACCAUAAUGAUUAAAAUCAAUAGCACUGAUACCAAACAGAGUUUCAGUCACUAGAAUAGGAAGUGGUUCAAGCAAUUUAAACGCUGACAGCAUGUAGUAAAACUGAUCAGACUCCUACCCAUGAUCCUGAAAUUUCAUUUCAUAAAUGUAUAUUCAGGAGAAAUGCAUGGAAAUGAUUGCCAAAUGCAGUGUACAAAAUGUUAAUAGCAUUAUUCUUAAUAGUCACAGAGUGGCAACAACCCAAAUGUCUAUCAACAGAAUGAUUAAAUAAAUCAUAGUACAAACUGUGGAAUGUAUGUAACUACUUUUUACUUAGAACAAAAAGAACUGAUUUCAACAAUGAAAUGUUAAGUGAAAGAAGCCUGGCACAAAAAAAAUGUAUUUAACUUCACAACCAGGCAGAACUUAUCUGUGUGUUAAAUGUUAGAAAAGUAGUCGUAGUCCCUUUGAGCUGUGUGAGUUGUAGCUAGAAUGGGACAUGAGACAGCUUCUCGACAUCUGUCUCUUCAUUUAGGUGAUAUAUUCACAGGUGCUAUCAGUUUGUGAAAUUCAUCUAACUGUAAACUUGUGAAAUAGGAACUUUUCUGUGUGCAUGCUAUUAUACUUCUAUAAACAUUCUUCUGUGAAGUCGUUGACAGAAGAAAUUGAAGAUAAACACAAACAAAUGGAAAGAUACACCGUGAUCAUGAGUAGGAAGAAUUAACGCUAAGAGGUCUGUACUACCCAAAGCAAUCUGUAGCUUUAGUACAACCCCUAUCAAAAUACGAAGGGCCUAUUUCUCAGAAGUAGAACAAAGAAAUCUAAAAUUUGUAUGGAACCACAAAAGAAAGCAAUCUUUUUUUUUUUUAAUUUUUUUUUUUUUUAACGUUUAUUUAUUUUUGAGACAGAGAGAGACAGAGCAUGAACGGGGGAGGGUCAGAGAGAGGGAGACACAGAAUCUGAAACAGGCUCCAGACUCUGAGCUGUCAGCACAGAGCCCGACGCGGGGCUCGAACUCAUGGACCGCGAGAUCAUGACCUGAGCCGAAGUCAGACGCUUAACCAACCGAGCCACCCAGGCGCCCCAAGAAAGCAAUCUUAAGAAAGAAAAACAAAGCUGGAGGUAUCAGGCUCCCUGAUUUCAAACUGUACUACCGAGCUAUGUCAUCAAAAUACUGUAGUAUGAGCACAAAAACACACAAAUCAAUGGAGCUGAUUAGAAAAUCUGAAAAUAAGCCCAUGUGUAUAUGGUCAAUUCAUCUUUGACAAAGGAGGCAAGAACAUACAAUGGUGAAAAAGAUGGUCUCUUCAUGGUGUUGGGAAAACUGGACAGCUGCAAAAGGAUGAAAUGGGACCACUUUCUUAUACCAUACAAAAAAUAAACUCAAAAGGAAUUGAAGACUUCAAUAUAAGUCUGGAAAAUAAAAUUCUUAAAAGGUAACAUAGUAUUGGACAUUGGUCUGAGCAAUAUUUUUUUAGAUCUGUUUCUUUAGAGAAGAGCAAAAAAGACAAAAAUCAACAAACGGGACUAUAUCAAGCAAAAAAGCUUUUACACAGCAAAGGAAAUCAUCAACAAAUGAAAUUGCAACUACUGGAUGGGAGAAGAUACUUACAAAUGAUAUAUUUGAUAAGGGAUUAAUAUCCCAAAUACAUAGAAAACUCACACAGCUCAGUAUCAGAAAAAAUAUACCAUUUAAAAAAUGGGCCAUUUAAAAACUGAACAGACACAGUUCUCCAAAGAAGACAUACAGAUGACCAACAGGUACAUGAAAAGAUGCUCAGAGCCACUAAUCAUGAGGGAAAUGCACAGCAAAACCACAAAGAGAUAUCAUCCCAGACACGUGAGAAUGGAUGGUAUCACAAUGACAGAAAAUAACCAGUGUUAGCAGGAGGAAAGGGAACCCUGAUGCACAGUUGAUGGGAACACAAAAUGGUGACACCAGUGUGGAAAAUCGUAGGGAUGUUUCUCAACUACAAAAUAGAACUGUGUGAUCCAGCAGUUGCACUUCCGGGUAUUUACCCAAAGAAGAAGACACUAAUUUGAAAUGACAUAUGCACCCCUAUGUUUCUUGCAGGGUUAUUUACAACAGCCAAGAUAUAGACACAGUCUAAGUGUUCCCUGUUAGGUGAAUGGAUAAAGUUGUGGUAUGUACACACAUACACAGUGGAAUUUUAGCUAUAAAAAGAAUGAAUUCUUGUCGUUUGGCAACAUGGAGGAACCCUGAGGAUAUCAUGCUAAGUGAAGUAUGUCAGAGCAAGACAAAAGGCAAAUACCUAUGUGGAAUCUAAAAAACAAAUGAACAAACAAAGCGGAAACAGAGGGGAUGGUUGCCAGAGGGGAGAAGGGAGAGGUUGGGAGAUGCGUGGAAUAGGGGAAGAGCAUUAAAAGGUACCGACUUCUGAUUAUGAAAUUAGGGUAAUGCAAUGUAUCGCAUAGGAAAUACAGUUAACAAUAUUUUAACAAUUUUUUAUGUGACAGAUUGUAGCUAGUUGUUACUGUGUUCAUUUCAUCAUGUUAAUAAGUAGGGGAUCACUAUGUUACACACUGGAAGGUAAUAUAAUAAUAUUCAAUGGCGCUUAAAUAAUGAAAAAUGUUUUAAAUACAUGCUUCAAACAAUACAUGCUUUGAAUGCUAAUAAUUCUGAGUUCAACUCUACCACAUAUUUUUUUGCAGAUGAGUUUGUCUAAUAAUAAAACUUACCUAAUAGGCUGCUCUAGAAUCUUUUCCUCAUCACACGUUUGGUAAACACUGCGUCUGAUAUUAUUCAUGUAGAAGUGUAUGGUACAUAUUCAUUGAUUAAAAAAAACUUACUUAAUUUUGUUUAACCUGGUGCCUUUCAACUUAAUUUUGCCUCCAUCUUAACGUACCUACUAGACACACUCCAGGAAAUGCUAGGAUAUAACAUGUCAAGUGCUUUGGUGUGAGGUAGCUAAUAGAUGUUGAGUAACAAUACUAUGAGGUCAGAGAGAGCAGGUCUUUUACAAGUGAGGAAAAGUAACAUUUCAAGAGAGAGUAAUAUAGCCAGAAUUAGAAUGGUGGGUCUCGUAACAUGAUAAAGAGUCAUUCAUGGACUAAAUUGAUGAUAAUUAGACUCAGUUAUUUUUAAAUAUAUAUGUCUAAAUUGUUAGUAACAGUGGUUAAUGUUUGAAUCUUGCCGAUAAAAUCCAUGUUAAAAUUUUGCCUGAAAUGCUAAGAAAUCUGAGUCCCUGAACAAUCUGAAUCAGGGAUGAUGCCUCCUAUUUUCUGCGUAAAGAUUGCUUAAUUAAAUAUGGGGUGAACGUCAUGAGACCUCUGUAUUCUUGGCAAACAUGAUCCUUUUAAAUAUGACCAGGGCCUAAUAAGGCCCUAGAGACUUAAAGAUAUGUGAGGCUAGGUGUAGUCCAAAAAAGUUAUCAUUUACUUCCACGUUGUUUUUCUUUACUAUCUGAUUCUUCUAAUUAUUUUUUGAAAUAGGAUACUUUGCCUUCUUGUAUUUCAGCCUUUGCUUUUAAAAUUUACCCUUUGAUCAUAAAAUAAUAAGUGCUCGUUUUGGAGAUUUAGAAAAUUACAAAAUAUAUGUAUCAGAAAAUGGUACCACCUUAUAGUUUCUUAUCAAGGGGAAAGGAUAUAUUAUGUAGUUAAGCAAAGUGCUAUCUAUAGGUAGUAGAUUAAAGAGAAUGUUCUUGUGUUAAACUGUAAAGGCAUGACAAAUAUCAAAUGCAGAACAUUAAAAACCAGGCUAGCCAUUCAGAAUAUGAGCAGAGAGCUUAAAAAGCCACUGAGAAUUGAAUGGCUUUUUCUUGCAUCAAAUAAAUACCUCCUACAUACACACAGUUGAACAAAGGGAAUGAGUCUGUAUCUAUUCCCAAGAUGAGACUAUAAAAAGAUGAUAGUGAAACAGAAGAGAGAGAUUCAGGGUUAAGACGAUACACCUGAUGUAUCACCUUACAUGAUGAUGUAUCAUGUAUCAUGUAUCAUGAUCACCUGAUACACCUUAUCCUUCCUUCUGGUUAUGACACUGGUAGAGAUUCAGCAGAAUGCAAAACUUGAAACAGAAUUACAAAGCAAAGCAAAGGAUCCCUAAUGCCAAAGUUCUGGAGAACUUCCAUUAACAUCCAGGAUCGUUUGAAGUGGACAUUGGUGCACAGUUUCUUUGUGUUUAAGAACUUCAUCAAAGUUCACUGUAUGUUUUCAUUAAUAUGCUUUCAUGUAUUUUACUUAUCCCCCAGAAAUACUGUUUCACUUCACAUGCCAUAUCUCUUUUAUCUUGCCAGAGUGUUUUGUGUGUUAUUUCAUCCUAUUAUGGCUCUGUUGGGCUAUUCAUGGGGAAUACGAGUUGUCGACAGAUGCACAUGAAGAGCCAUGGUUCUUUAUGUAUAACACUAUUAAGUAAUGUUUCAGAAGCAUAAGCUUCACACCUAGUAUUAUUUCUCCCAUACUUGAUAUAUUUGGAACCAUGUAACACUAGAUGAGUGUUGACAGAACUUUUCCUGAUUUGUAAACUUUCAAGAUAGGUAUAAAUGAUUUUGGUUCCAAUGCUACAUUAAACUUGAGUGCCCUUAUAUAUUCAUUCAUUCGCUCCUUCCCUUCCUCUUUCUGUCUUUCUGUAUUUCAAGUUACUUAACAUACAGUGUAAUAUUGCUUUCGGGAGUAGAAUUCAUUGAUUCACCACUUACAUACAAAACCCAGGGCUCUUGACAACAAGUGCCCUCCUUAGUACCCAUCACCCAUCUCACCCAUCUUCCACCCACCUCCCUCCAUCAACCCUCAGUUUUUUCUCUACCAUUAAGGGCCUCUGGUGGUUUGUUUCCCUCUCUUCUCUUUCCCCCUACCCCUUCCUAUAUGUUUAUCUGCUGUUUCUUAAAUUUCACAUACGAGUGAAAUCAUAUGGUAUUUGUCUUUCACUGAUUGAUUUAUUUUGCUUAGCAUAAUGCAUUCUAGCUCCAUCCACGCCAUUGCAAAUGGCAAGAUUUCAAUCUUUCUGAUGGCUGAGCAAUAUUCCAUCACACACACACACACACACACACACACACACACACACCACCUCUCCUUUAUCCAUUCAUCAGUCGAUGGACAUUUGGACUGUCUCCGUAGUUUGGCUGUUGUUGGCUAUAUGCUGCUUUAAACAUUGAGGUGCAUGUACCCCUUCAAUUCUGUAUUUUUGUACCUUUUGAGUAAAUGCCUAACAGCGCAAUUACUGGAUCGUAGGAUAGUUCUAUUUUUAAUUUUUUGAAGAACUUCCAUACUGGUCUCCAGACCUGUUGCACCAGUGUGCAUUCCCACCAACAGUGCAAGAGGGUUCCCCUUUCUCUGCAUCCUCCCAACACCCGUUGCUUCUCGUGGUGUUAAUUUUAGCCAUUCUGACAGGUGUGAGGUGGAGUCUCAUUGUGGUUUUGGUUUGUAUUUCCCUGAUGAUGAGUGAUGUUGAGCAUCUCUUCAUGUGUCUGUUAGCCAUCUGGCUGUCUUCUUUGGAAAAGUGUCUGUUCAAGUCUUCUGCCCAUUUCUUAACUGGGUUUUUGGUUUUUUGGGGAAGAGUGUUGAGUCUGAUAAGUUCUUUAUAGAUUUUGGAUAGUACCCCUUUAGCAGGUAUGUUGUUUGUGUAUUUUAAUAAACCCAUUAGUUGUUUAAUAUAUAUUGAAGACAUCCAUGCUUUCAAAACUUAAUAUAUUAACCAAUAAGCAAAAUGGAGAAAAAUAAUUUUUUUCUACUUAUAAAAACUUAAAAUAUAAACGAUACAAGAAUAUCAUGAAGGCAUACCACAAUCCAAAGCAUAAAAAACAAUUUGUAUGUAAAAUGAGGGAAAGGUACAGGGAAAAUCUCCUAAAUAUCAAAAUGCACUGUCAGAUACUGCAAUCACCUGACAAGAGAUAUUAUUUUGAGAUACAACAGUUCCAAACAAUUUAGGUGCCAUAGAGAUUACGAUAAUAAUAAUUCAGACGUUUCUUCUUCAUACGUGAGUCUUGACAUACUUUGUGUGAAUCGAAAAGCUGUAGGACUCCUUAAGAACAGCAGAAAUUGAUAGAGAGUACUUAAUAUGUGUGCAAUCUUACACACUUUUUAUACUAUUAUUUUUUUUUAAAAAAAGGCUGUCCCAUUUUUGGUCCCUUAGAAGUUUGAGUGGAUGCGAAUAAAUUGUGGGUACUAGUUUGCAUAUUCAAUUAACUUGAACCUAAGCAGAUCUGUACUUCGGUGAAAGAGUACAGUGGUAUAUGAUGCAGUAUCGUUUAACUGGAAAGGAUUCCUGAAGACUCACUGUUUACAUUUUGAACCUGAAACUGUAACUUAAAGAUUGAAUAAGUAAAUAAGUUGCCAGAAAAAUUCCAGAUAUACAGUGAGUGGCAACUUACUUCACAGUGUUCCCUUUUGUUGUUCGUCGAAAAAAAAAAAAAUGACAAUUUUCGAAAAAUGCAAUUGUCGAAAAAAAAAAUAGUGAAAAGAAACUAAUGUUACCUAACUUUCAAGGCUUUUGACAGGUUCUUGUGAGAUGUGAUGUCGGACACAAUAAUUUUAUUCCUUGGCAGAAAUAAAAUGUUGCUUUUCACAGUAAUUGCUUCCUUGGGAGAGAAUGAAGGCAUUUUUGCAUUAUUAACACAGCAGCUCUGCCACUACAUCUGUUAUAAAAUUCAUUUCAGGAAUGAAGCUUAAUUUUUUUUUUUUUAAAAGUUACACUCAUGGAUAAAAUAAGAGUAUACACUAUAGUAGAGGCAAACAAUAAUUUAAAAUUGUUUUAAAGCAUUUUAUGGUAUAUAUUAACUCUAUUUUAUUACCCAAUUUGGGGUAAGUUCAAAUUAAAUACACUUGGAACAAGUCCAGGAUCUUUCAAGUGGGUUAAAUUGUAGUGCACGAAAGGAAUAAGCAGCCACCUGUAUAGGUAGCCUAUUAAGCAGACUACAUAUAUACAGUUAUACAGCAAGAAAUAAUUUCAUAAUCAUCUCUAUACUAUUUUAGUGUUCCCCUAGCUAGUAAAAUAAAUAAAUAAAUAAAUAGAUAGAUAGAUAGAUAAAGCGCUUACUUUUUGAAGAUUAACUUGAAAAUAAGCAAAAAACAAACCAAAGCAAAAACGUUGACAUUUUAUAAACAUCUCGGAAACACAGGCAGCAUUAGUAACCUAAAUACAGAAAAAAAUGUACAUAAAUCCAUGAGGUUUGGUCAUUUUGUGUGCAUAUUUUUUGGCUUGUUCAUUCAUUCAUGUACAUACAGUCUUAAAGAGGAUUAUAAAGGUGAGUAACAUUUCAGUCUGUACUCAAGAUACUUUAAUUUUAUUAGUGGACAUGGUUGUUCAAAAAUAUAAAGUUGAAAGGAAUAAACAAGACAAAUACGUGUCAUGGCCAUUCUGAAUAGAAGAAUUUUAUAGGUGUCCAAGGACAUAAAGAAGCAGCUUUAUCAAAAAGGGACAGUUGAACUAGGAGAGAGAAAGGGUUUUAGAAAUAUGGAGAAAGUAAGAACAUCAUUCCAAAAUGAAAUACAUUAUGUGUUCGUUAUAAACCAGAAUUAGCAGAAAAAAUAUAUGACUCAUUUUUCUACCUACGUGCUAUUCUUACAUGCUUUAGACUAUUUUAAUUUUUAGCUAAAGUGACACCACAAGUUUAAUAACAUUUAGGGAGAAGGAGGAAGCAGGUGAGAGAUCUAUUGUUAUUUUAAAAUAUUGAGCAUGACUCAUCCAAAAUGAUGGGAAAUUUCACCAGUGCAUAUUAUCGUUUCUUCCCUUUAGAGUUACUAAUUAUUCUGGAGUUUGAGAACUUAUUUAUAAACUAAAGCAUAAUAUAACAACAUGAUCAAAUGCUACUGUGACCUUUUUUUUUUAAUAUAAAAGUGACACAGUAUAUUUUAGUUCUUGAUUUUGAUAAGUAUUUAUGACAUAUGUGACUGGUGGUACUUAAGACUUUACAAAAAAAAUAAAUAGAUAAAGCUUCCUUAAUAUAAAAACAUUAAGACAUUUUUUACUGAAGCUAAUACUUAAAUUUUAUGAGUUUUCCCAUAGCUCCUAAUCCUUUUACCUAAAGGCAAUAUAAUAUACUAAAGUCACUUUUGAAUGUAAAUUUCAUCCAGGUUUAUGAAAAGUUAAUUGUAUUUAAAUCACUGAUGAGCUUUUUAGAGAAUCAAAAUAUAAUGAUGUUUAAAAAUCAUGCAUUAAACAGGAAUUACUCUGUUAUUGACAUUUACAUGGUCUUACUUUUAAUAUGAAAUUUAUUGUCGAAUUGGUUUCCAUACAACAGCCAGUGCUCAUCCCAACAGGUGCCCUCCUCAAUACCCGUCACCCUCCCACCCCCCAUCAACCCUCAGUUUAUUCUCAGUUUUUAAGAGUCUCUCAUGGUCUUAUUUUGAAGCUGUAAAGAUAAAACUUUAAAAUGCUUUUUUAAAACUAGAAUGUGUAUGUCCAUUAUGAAUUAUGUUUAAUAUAACAGACUCAAUUUUAUUGGUAGGAUGAGAAUAAUUUCUUGGGUUUUAAAAACCACAUUACUCUUUUCAAUGCACUAAAUAAUUUUCUCAAAUUGGAAAAAUUUAAAUACUAUGAACCAGUUAGAAAGUAAUAUAUCCUUUUCUCUGUGGAAGGGAUUGUCUUCUGUUUUCUUUGUUUCUGAUACUGCACUUAUUCUGGAUUCUCAGAAUAUUUAACUAUGUUAGAUUAAUAAGUAUAAGUGUGACAUAAGAAAACACAUUUUAUAGUUCUUUUAUCUUCUGUGUAUGUGCUUUCAAUGUUUUAAUUACGAAGUGCAAACAAACCUUAGAGGGAAAACCAUUGUUUUAAAUAAAUAUUUUUGAGAGGGUGAAUAUACAGUUUGAGUUCCUUUUGGUAGAGAAAGAUUUAGUCCUCUUUUCAACUAUUCAUUUAAUAUCUAUCAUAUGUGAAAUGCUUUGAUGAGAAGUAAGGAUACAAAUCCCAGGUUCCCACACAACUGCUAGGAUUGUAAGCGGCAACAGUUUAAAGUAGGUGUAGGGAUAGUUUGGGCUAGUUUCAGAAGUUGGUAAUCAAGGUCAGUCAGAGUUUAGGAUUAAGAGUGUAUAUUAUAAUGAUAUGUGAUGAUGAAUCAAGGUCAGUCAGAGUUGAGGAUUAAGAGUGCAGAUGUGAUGCUGGAGGCAUAGAAUAGCAGCAACAGAUGGGAGAAAGGCAUUAAGUUUUACCCAAGUCCAAC
Panthera uncia (snow leopard) is the source of this 11040-nucleotide long non-coding RNA. RefSeq lists it as uncharacterized. Lineage: Eukaryota; Metazoa; Chordata; Mammalia; Carnivora; Felidae. The record is from RefSeq and is a predicted model, not a curated record. The transcript is spliced from 2 exons.